Molecule: ribosomal RNA, 463 nt
Filed under: uncultured bacterium
Lineage: Bacteria
Description: bacterial SSU rRNA
Rfam family: Bacterial small subunit ribosomal RNA
Source: RNAcentral
GAACGCUGGCGGCGUGCCUAACACAUGCAAGUCGAACGGGACUUGGAGGGCUUGCUCUCCAAGUUUAGUGGCGAACGGGUGAGUAACGCUUGAGAAACCUGCCUUUCAGUGGGGGACAACAGUUGGAAACGACUGCUAAUACCGCAUAAAGUAUCGAGGGGGCAUCCCCUUGAUACCAAAGCUUUAUGUGCUGAAAGAUGGUCUCGCGUCUGAUUAGCUAGAUGGCGGGGUAACGGCCCACCAUGGCGACGAUCAGUAGCCGGUCUGAGAGGAUGAACGGCCACAUUGGGACUGAGAUACGGCCCAGACUCCUACGGGAGGCAGCAGUCGGGAAUUUUGCGCAAUGGAGGAAACUCUGACGCAGUGACGCCGCGUGCAGGAAGAAGGUUUUCGGAUUGUAAACUGCUUUAGACAGGGAAGAAACAAGACAGUACCUGUAGAAUAAGCUCCGGCUAACUACGUG